Molecule: ribosomal RNA, 380 nt
Filed under: uncultured eukaryote
Lineage: Eukaryota
Description: partial 18S ribosomal RNA
Rfam family: Eukaryotic small subunit ribosomal RNA
Source: RNAcentral
CAAUAGCGUAUAUUAAAGUUGUUGCGGUUAAAAAGCUCGUAGUUGGAUUUCUGCCGAGGACGACCGGUCCGCCCUCUGGGUGAGUAUCUGGCUCGGCCUGGGCAUCUUCUUGGAGAACGUAGCUGCACUUGACUGUGUGGUGCGGUAUCCAGGACUUUUACUUUGAGGAAAUUAGAGUGUUUCAAGCAGGCUUACGCCUUGAAUACAUUAGCAUGGAAUAAUAAGAUAGGACCUCGGUUCUAUUUUGUUGGUUUCUAGAGCUGAGGUAAUGAUUAAUAGGGAUAGUUGGGGGCAUUCGUAUUUAACUGUCGGAGGUGAAAUUCUUGGAUUUGUUAAAGACGGACUACUGCGAAAGCAUUUGCCAAGGAUGUUUUCAUUGA